This 460-nucleotide ribosomal RNA is filed under the name uncultured bacterium. Its description in RNAcentral is "bacterial SSU rRNA". It matches the Rfam family "Bacterial small subunit ribosomal RNA", at positions 29 to 484 of the family's 1533-position model. The record is from RNAcentral.
AUUAAACGCUGGCGGCAUGCCUUACACAUGCAAGUCGAACGGCAGCACGGGGGCAACCCUGGUGGCGAGUGGCGAACGGGUGAGUAAAGCAUCGGAACGUGCCCUGGAGUGGGGGAUAACGUAGCGAAAGUUACGCUAAUACCGCAUAUUCUGUGAGCAGGAAAGCAGGGGAUCGCAAGACCUUGCGCUCUGGGAGCGGCCGAUGUCGGAUUAGCUAGUUGGUGGGGUAAAGGCCUACCAAGGCGACGAUCCGUAGCGGGUCUGAGAGGAUGAUCCGCCACACUGGGACUGAGACACGGCCCAGACUCCUACGGGAGGCAGCAGUGGGGAAUUUUGGACAAUGGGCGAAAGCCUGAUCCAGCCAUGCCGCGUGAGUGAAGAAGGCCUUCGGGUUGUAAAGCUACUUCGGUGGGGAAGAAUUGCAUGGGCUAAUACCCUGUGUAGAUGACGGUACCUGGAG